CCUACGAGUGGCAGCAGUGGGGAAUAUUGCACAAUGGGGGGAACCCUGAUGCAGCGACGCCGCGUGAGUGAAGAAGUAUUUCGGUAUGUAAAGCCCUAUCAGCAGGGAAGAAAAUGACGGUACCUGACUAAGAAGCCCCGGUUCACUACGUGCCAGCAGCCGCGGUAAUCCGUCGGGGGCACGCGUUAUGCGGAUUUACUGGGUGUAAAGGGAGCGUAGACGGUGCAGCAAGUCUGAUGUGAAAGGUCGGGGCCCAACCCCGGGAGUGCAGUGGAAACUGUUGAACUGGAGUACAGGAGAGGUAAGCGGAAUGCCUAGUGUAGCGGUGAAAUGCGUAGAUAUUAGGAGGAACACCAGUGGCGAAGGCAGCUUACUGGACGGUAACUGACGUUGAGGCACGAAAGCGUGGGUAGCAAACAGGAUUAGAUACCCGUGUAGUC
This 440-nucleotide ribosomal RNA is filed under the name uncultured bacterium. RNAcentral describes it as "partial 16S ribosomal RNA". It matches the Rfam family "Bacterial small subunit ribosomal RNA", at positions 338 to 795 of the family's 1533-position model. The record is from RNAcentral.